This 942-nucleotide non-coding RNA is filed under the name Nothobranchius ocellatus. RNAcentral describes it as "12S ribosomal RNA". It matches the Rfam family "Bacterial small subunit ribosomal RNA". Lineage: Eukaryota; Metazoa; Chordata; Actinopteri; Cyprinodontiformes; Nothobranchiidae. The record is from RNAcentral.
CAAAAGUUUGGUCCUAACUUCACUAUCAAUUUUUACUAAAUUUACACAUGCAAGUAUCCGCAUUCCCGUGAGAUCUCCUUAGGUUUUCUUUUGAAUCCUAAGAAAUGAUAUCAGGCACAAUAAUUUUUUAGCCCAAAACACCUGGCUUAGCCACACCCCCAAGGGAAUUCAGCAGUGAAAAAUAUUAAGCUAUAAGCGAAAGCUUGACUUAGUUAUAGUUUUUAGGGCCGGUAAAACUCGUGCCAGCCACCGCGGUUAUACGAGAGGCUCAAAUUGAUCAUAAUCGGCGUAAAGCGUGUUUUAAGUAAAAUUAAACUAAAGUAGAAUCCACCCAAAACUGUCAUACGUGGUUGGGUGAAAGAAAAACUUUCACGAAAGUAACUUUAAAUAUCUUGAAUACACGAAAGCUGUGAAACAAACUGGGAUUAGAUACCCCACUAUGCACAGCCUUAAACCUUAAUAUAGACACACACUUAUAUUCGCCAGGGUACUACGAGCACGAGCUUAAAACCCAAAGGACUUGGCGGUGCUUUAGCCCCACCUAGAGGAGCCUGUUCUAUAACCGAUAACCCCCGUUAAACCUUACCUUUUCUUGUUUAUCCCGCCUAUAUACCGCCGUCGUCAGCUUACCCUGUGAAGGUAAAUAAGUAAGCAAUAUUGAUAAAAUCCAAAACGUCAGGUCGAGGUGUAGCAUAUGAAAAGGAAAGAAAUGGGCUACAUUUCCUAUUUUAGGACAUACGGAAAAUAUUAUGAAAAACAACAUCAAGGAGGAUUUAGUAGUAAGAAGGAAACAGAGUGUCCUACUGAAACUGGCCCUGAAGCACGCACACACCGCCCGUCACUCUCCCCAAACUAAAGUAACCAAUAUAUAAUAAAAGAUUAGAAUGAAGGGGAGGCAAGUCGUAACAUGGUAAGUAUACCGGAAGGUGUACUUGGCUAACC